This 755-nucleotide ribosomal RNA is filed under the name uncultured bacterium. RNAcentral's name for it is "bacterial SSU rRNA". It matches the Rfam family "Bacterial small subunit ribosomal RNA", at positions 73 to 842 of the family's 1533-position model. The record is from RNAcentral.
UCGGAAUGAAAUCUGAAAUGACUGAGUGGCGGACGGGUGAGUAACGCGUGAGUAACCUGCCCUUAGGAAAGGGAUAGCGUCUGGAAACGGACGGUAAUACCAUAUAAAGUAUAUUAACGGCAUCGUAGAUAUACCAAAGCUGAGGCGCCUAAGGAUGGACUCGCGUCUGAUUAGAUAGUUGGUGGGGUAACAGCCUACCAAGUCGACGAUCAGUAGCCGGACUGAGAGGUUGAACGGCCACAUUGGGACUGAGACACGGCCCAGACUCCUACGGGAGGCAGCAGUGGGGAAUAUUGCACAAUGGGCGAAAGCCUGAUGCAGCAACGCCGCGUGAAGGAAGACGGUUUUCGGAUUGUAAACUUCUGUUCUUAGUGAAGAAUAAUGACGGUAACUAAGGAGCAAGCCACGGCUAACUACGUGCCAGCAGCCGCGGUAAUACGUAGGUGGCAAGCGUUGUCCGGAAUUACUGGGUGUAAAGGGAGCGUAGGCGGGAAGCCAAGUCAGCUGUGAAAACUACGGGCUUAACCUGUAGACUGCAGUUGAAACUGGCUUUCUUGAGUGAAGUAGAGGUUGGCGGAAUUCCGAGUGUAGCGGUGAAAUGCGUAGAUAUUCGGAGGAACACCGGUGGCGAAGGCGGCCAACUGGGCUUUAACUGACGCUGAGGCUCGAAAGUGUGGGGAACAAACAGGAUUAGAUACCCUGGUAGUCCACACUGCAAACGAUGAUAACUAGGUGUGGGGGGUCUGACCCCUUCC